CGAUUGAAUGGCUCAGUGAGGCCUUCGGACUGGCCCAGGGAGGUCGGCAACGACCACCCAGGGCCGGAAAGUUCGUCAAACUUGGUCAUUUAGAGGAAGUAAAAGUCGUAACAAGGUCUCCGUAGGUGAACCUGCGGAGGGAUCAUUAAACGAAACAAAGCCCGUGGCGAGCCUCCGGGCGCGCCACGGGCCCAGUCUCAAACCCUUUGUCGUCCGACUAUGUUGCCUCGGGGGAGACCCUGCCUCCGGGCGGGUGGCACCCCGGUGGACCAAACCAAACUCUUGCGUAACCAGUCGUCUGAGUAGAUUUACAAAAUAAAUCAAAACUUUCAACAACGGAUCUCUUGGUUCUGGCAUCGAUGAAGAACGCAGCGAAAUGCGAUAAGUAAUGUGAAUUGCAGAAUUCAGUGAAUCAUCGAAUCUUUGAACGCACAUUGCGCCCCGUGGUAUUCCGCGGGGCAUGCCUGUUCGAGCGUCAUUACACCACUCAAGCCUCGCUUGGUAUUGGGCGACGCGGUACGCCGCGCGCCUCAAAUCUUUCGGCUGGGUCUGAAUCGUCCCUCAGCGUUGUGGAAACUAUUCGCUAAAGGGUUCGCGUUCGGUCACGCCGUUAAACAAAACCAUUUUCAUUAAAGGUUGACCUCGGAUCAGGUAGGGAUACCCGCUGAACUUAAGC
This 676-nucleotide ribosomal RNA is filed under the name Rachicladosporium cboliae. RNAcentral describes it as "eukaryotic LSU rRNA". The stretch from base 325 to 478 matches the Rfam family "5.8S ribosomal RNA". Lineage: Eukaryota; Fungi; Ascomycota; Dothideomycetes; Cladosporiales; Cladosporiaceae. The record is from RNAcentral.